RNAcentral lists this ribosomal RNA (530 nucleotides) under uncultured bacterium. RNAcentral's name for it is "bacterial SSU rRNA". It matches the Rfam family "Bacterial small subunit ribosomal RNA", at positions 777 to 1304 of the family's 1533-position model. The record is from RNAcentral.
AAUAGAUACCCUGGUAGUCCACGCCGUAAACGAUGAGUGCUAAGUGUUAGAGGGUUUCCGCCCUUUAGUGCUGCAGCUAACGCAUUAAGCACUCCGCCUGGGGAGUACGGCCGCAAGGCUGAAACUCAAAGGAAUUGACGGGGGCCCGCACAAGCGGUGGAGCAUGUGGUUUAAUUCGAAGCAACGCGAAGAACCUUACCAGGUCUUGACAUCCUCUGACAACCCUAGAGAUAGGGCUUUCCCCUUCGGGGGACAGAGUGACAGGUGGUGCAUGGUUGUCGUCAGCUCGUGUCGUGAGAUGUUGGGUUAAGUCCCGCAACGAGCGCAACCCUUGAUCUUAGUUGCCAGCAUUCAGUUGGGCACUCUAAGGUGACUGCCGGUGACAAACCGGAGGAAGGUGGGGAUGACGUCAAAUCAUCAUGCCCCUUAUGACCUGGGCUACACACGUGCUACAAUGGAUGGUACAAAGGGCUGCAAACCUGCGAAGGUAAGCGAAUCCCAUAAAAGCCAUUCUCAGUUCGGAUUGCAGG